This 513-nucleotide ribosomal RNA is filed under the name uncultured bacterium. RNAcentral's name for it is "partial 16S ribosomal RNA". It matches the Rfam family "Bacterial small subunit ribosomal RNA", at positions 28 to 523 of the family's 1533-position model. The record is from RNAcentral.
GACGAACGCUGGCGGCAUGCCUAAUACAUGCAAGUCGAGCGAACAGAUGAAGUGCUUGCACUUCUGACGUUAGCGGCGAACGGGUGAGUAACACGUAAGGAAUCUUCCUAUAAGCGGGGGAUAACAUUCGGAAACGGGUGCUAAUACCGCACAAUAUCUUCUUCCGCAUGGAAGAAGAUUGAAAGACGGCUCUGCUGUCACUUAUAGAUGACCUUGCGGUGCAUUAGUUAGUUGGUGGGGUAAUGGCCUACCAAGACGAUGAUGAAUAGCCGGCCUGAGAGGGUGAUCGGCCACAUUGGGACUGAGACACGGCCCAAACUCCGACGGGAGGCAGCAGUAGGGAAUAUUCCGCAAUGGGCGAAAGCCUGACGGAGCAAUGCCGCGUGAGUGAAGAAGGCCUUCGGGUCGUAAAACUCUGUUAUAAGAGAAGAACAAAUUGUAGAGUAACUGCUACAGUCUUGACGGUAUCUUAUCAGAAAGCCACGGCUAACUACGUGCCAGCCGCCGCCGUAA